Molecule: ribosomal RNA, 329 nt
Filed under: uncultured eukaryote
Lineage: Eukaryota
Description: partial 18S ribosomal RNA
Rfam family: Eukaryotic small subunit ribosomal RNA
Source: RNAcentral
CCCUUAGAUGUCCUGGGCCGCACGCGUGCUACACUGACGCAUACAGCGAGUACUUCCCAGCUCCGCGAGGCAGCCGGUAAUCAGCAAUAUGCGUCGUGAUGGGGAUAGAUCUUUGGAAUUGUGGAUCUUGAACGAGGAAUUCCCAGUAAGUGCAAGUCAUAAGCUUGCGCUGACUACGUCCCUGCCCUUUGUACACACCGCCCGUCGCUACUACCGAUUGAAUGAUUUAGUGAGGACUUCGGACUGGGACCGAUGCGGCUUUCGGGCUGCGUCGGUAUUCUGGAAAGAUGUCCAAACUGUAUCAUUUAGAGGAAGUAAAAGUCGUAACA